UUUCGACAGUUGUAUCAAUUCUUAGCUUAAGGCAACAAUGGGGUUUUGGUAUUUGUCACGGUGUUAGAUGUAAUUUUUAGUGUCGGGUUUUUGUUAUCGUAUCCACAGGGAUUGUAAGAUAUCACCGCCGUUCGAUGGUUGUAUUAAUUCUAGCUUUAGGUACCAAUAGGGUUUUGGUUGUUGUCAUGUUUUCUUGCAUAAAAAUGUAAUAAAAUGCGGUAAAAGUUAUGGUUUGAAUAUUUGAGAAAUAUUGCCAAAGUUAGGG
This 265-nucleotide long non-coding RNA is filed under the name Lathyrus oleraceus (garden pea). Its description in RNAcentral is "Pisum sativum (pea) long non-coding RNA (PSAT_LNC011272)". The record is from RNAcentral. Lineage: Eukaryota; Viridiplantae; Streptophyta; Magnoliopsida; Fabales; Fabaceae.